Molecule: ribosomal RNA, 280 nt
Filed under: uncultured bacterium
Lineage: Bacteria
Description: partial 16S ribosomal RNA
Rfam family: Bacterial small subunit ribosomal RNA
Source: RNAcentral
GACGUAGGGGCGAGCGUUGUCCGGAAUUACUGGGCGGUAAAGGGACGCGUAGGCGGUCAAUCAAGUCAGGUGUAAAAGAACCCCGGGCCGUCAACCGGGGGUAGGCAUCUGAAACUAGAUUGGCUAGAGGGCAGGAGAGGGGAGGUGGAAUUCCCGGUCGUAGCGGUGAAAUAGCGUAGAUAUCGGGAGGAAUACCAGUGGCGAAGGCGACUCUCUGGACUGGCCCUGACGCUGAGGCGCGAAAGCGUGGGGAGCGAACAGGAUUAGAUACCCCGGUAGU